GUCUACGGCCAUGCCACCCUGAACAAGGCCGAUCCCGUCUGAUCUAGAAGCUAAGCAGGGUCGGGCCUGGUUAGUACUUGGCUGGGAGACCACCUAGGAAAACCAGGUGGUGUAGGCA
Non-coding RNA from Pteropus alecto (black flying fox), 118 nucleotides. The record is from Rfam. Lineage: Eukaryota; Metazoa; Chordata; Mammalia; Chiroptera; Pteropodidae.